UACGUAGGGGGCAAGCGUUGUCCGGAAUCAUUGGGCGUAAAGAGCGUGUAGGCGGUCCGGUAAGUCGGCUGUGAAAGUCCAGGGCUCAACCCUGGGAUGCCGGUCGAUACUGCCGGACUAGAGUUCGGAAGAGGCGAGUGGAAUUCCCGGUGUAGCGGUGAAAUGUGCAGAUAUCGGGAGGAACACCUAUGGCGAAGGCAGCUCGCUGGGACGUUACUGACGCUGAGACGCGAAAGCGUGGGGAGCAAACAGG
Molecule: ribosomal RNA, 253 nt
Filed under: uncultured bacterium
Lineage: Bacteria
Description: partial 16S ribosomal RNA
Rfam family: Bacterial small subunit ribosomal RNA
Source: RNAcentral